RNAcentral lists this ribosomal RNA (450 nucleotides) under Burkholderia sp. BSNF2(4). RNAcentral's name for it is "bacterial SSU rRNA". It matches the Rfam family "Bacterial small subunit ribosomal RNA", at positions 55 to 500 of the family's 1533-position model. The record is from RNAcentral. Lineage: Bacteria; Pseudomonadati; Pseudomonadota; Betaproteobacteria; Burkholderiales; Burkholderiaceae.
AUGCAAGUCGAACGGCAGCACGGGGGCAACCCUGGUGGCGAGUGGCGAACGGGUGAGUAAUACAUCGGAACGUGUCCUGUAGUGGGGGAUAGCCCGGCGAAAGCCGGAUUAAUACCGCAUACGCUCUACGGAGGAAAGGGGGGGAUCUUAGGACCUCCCGCUACAGGGGCGGCCGAUGGCAGAUUAGCUAGUUGGUGGGGUAAAGGCCUACCAAGGCGACGAUCUGUAGCUGGUCUGAGAGGACGACCAGCCACACUGGGACUGAGACACGGCCCAGACUCCUACGGGAGGCAGCAGUGGGGAAUUUUGGACAAUGGGGGCAACCCUGAUCCAGCAAUGCCGCGUGUGUGAAGAAGGCCUUCGGGUUGUAAAGCACUUUUGUCCGGAAAGAAAACCUCGUGGUUAAUACCCGUGGGGGAUGACGGUACCGGAAGAAUAAGCACCGGCUAA